UUUUGCAGAGAUGGAAAAUCGGAGGCCAUCGCCACCUAAGGAGAUCUCAAAUUUUCUUGUUCUUUAAUUCAUUCAUUUACGAUUGGAUUUCGUUUUUAGUGAUAUAGUUUGCAUCAUUGGCAAUCUGACAAUAUUCUCAAGUGCUUGUUCUUCUAUAAUUGAUUUUCAAAAAUUAAUUUUCAAUCUUGAUUUUUACAUCUUCUAUAAGCUACAAGAUUCAAAUGCUUUAACGGUCACAUCGUUAUACAAUCAGUGGCCAAAGUUUUUCCAUUGAUUUUGAGAAAUAGCCAUAACAAUAUGGGUAGUAUGAAUUGGAAAAGUAUUGGCUUUAGAAAUAAAAAAUUUAAGGCUUCGUGCCCGGGGCACUAGUUAAGGAGCUAAAAAAAAAAAAAAGUUAUGCAUUGAAACAAUCAAAAUUUAGACUUUUCAUGUGUUGAUUACACAAUAUUUAAGAAAAACCUUCUAAAUUUAAAUUCUUAACCAAUGCCCCUGAGACACUAUUUAGCAUUUGCCUUAGUUUAUUGGUCUCUUAAAGACAUUUUAGGUUUCAUCCUUUAAAGAAAAAAAAGUUCGGAUUGGUCCCCUUAAAGACACGUCAGUUUCUCACAUUGGUCAUUUCCGUCAAUUUUUUACAAAAAAACGUUAGGUUGACUCAAUUGUGGAUGUCAUUAAGUGUAAGUGAUCCACCAAAAACCUUAUUAAUUUUUAAAAUUUCAACCAUUGAAAUUAUUUGUUAUAUUUGGAGUUAAAAUUUAACGGAAAGGACCAAUAUGACAAAUAUUUAUGUCUUUAAGGGACCAAUCCAAUUUUUUUUUCUUUAUGGGACCAAUCCGGACCUUUUUUCUCUUUAAGGGACAAGUUUCAUCACCUGAAAUUGAAAACCACCACCUGAAAUUGAAAACAAGGGGUUGAGCUAGCAGAGUAGAGAAGUGCUGAAGCUUGAAAACCAUUCUUUCUUUUUUUAAAACAAGGGGUCAUACGUUACACACUUUUGGCCUAUCAUUUUUUGAGCUUAUGCAAAUAGCUUAUGCAAUAUAAAUUAAGUUUUAUGUUAUUUUAUAAGUUCACACUAGUGAAAAUUGUAAUUUUAUAAGAUAUUUUAUCAUAAACUACAUUGACAAACUUAUAAUAAUAUAUAAAAAUUGCAUAAGUUGCUUGUAUAAGCUCUAAAUAAGAGGAAAAAAAGUCAAGUUAAACGAUACCUAAAACUGGGUUGUGAAAUUUUCGUGCUAGAGAAUAAGAGAGAGGGGGAGUGAAAUUUUCAUUUCUCAUACUAAUCUAGCCGCCGCAGUACACAAUAAAACUGACGCCACUUUACCACUAGAACCGCNNNNNNNNNNNNNNNNNNNNNNNNNNNNNNNNNNNNNNNNNNNNNNNNNNNNNNNGAUUUACACACACCAACGGCGGUUGAAUGAAAUAAAUGUCGGUAUUGACAUGAGCGGCGGCGUUUCACUUGCUAGUGCCUCAAAUGGCCUGUCCAUAUCUUCAAUUUUUCUUGUAGUGUAUUAGUAAUUUUAUGGAUUAAACUGAUCAAUAAAAAUCAAAUUCGAUGACUAAAUUGAUUAUUUUUGAAUAUGUAAGUGGAUUAACGGAGCAACUUAUAUUAUCUUUUUUU
Molecule: long non-coding RNA, 1615 nt
Filed under: Trifolium pratense (red clover)
Lineage: Eukaryota; Viridiplantae; Streptophyta; Magnoliopsida; Fabales; Fabaceae
Description: long non-coding RNA (TPRA_LNC005710)
Source: RNAcentral